This 77-nucleotide transfer RNA is filed under the name Promethearchaeota archaeon. RNAcentral's name for it is "Candidatus Lokiarchaeota archaeon tRNA-Thr". It matches the Rfam family "tRNA". Rfam says of the family: Transfer RNA (tRNA) molecules are approximately 80 nucleotides in length. Their secondary structure includes four short double-helical elements and three loops (D, anti-codon, and T loops). Further hydrogen bonds mediate the characteristic L-shaped molecular structure. tRNAs have two regions of fundamental functional importance: the anti-codon, which is responsible for specific mRNA codon recognition, and the 3' end, to which the tRNAs corresponding amino acid is attached (by aminoacyl-tRNA synthetases). tRNAs cope with the degeneracy of the genetic code in two manners: having more than one tRNA (with a specific anti-codon) for a particular amino acid; and 'wobble' base-pairing, i.e. permitting non-standard base-pairing at the 3rd anti-codon position. The record is from RNAcentral. Lineage: Archaea; Promethearchaeati; Promethearchaeota.
GCCUCCGUAGCUUAAAGCGGUAUAGCAGCAGACUUGUAAUCUGCAGGUCGCGGGUUCAAAUCCCGUCGGGGGCUCCA